GUUGAACGCUGGCGGCGUGCCUAAUACAUGCAAGUCGAGCGAACAGACGAGGAGUUUGCUCCUCUGACGUUAGCGGCGGACGGGUGAGUAACACGUGGAUAACCUACCUAUAAGACUAGGAUAACUUCGGGAAACCGGAGCUAAUACCGGAUAAUAUAUUGAACCGCAUGGUUCAAUAGUGAAAGACGGUUUUGCUGUCACUUAUUGAUGGAUCCGCGCCGCAUUAGUUAGUUGGUAAGGUAACGGCUUACCAAGGCAACGAUGCGUAGCCGACCUGAGAGGAUGAUCAGCCACACUGGAACUGAGACACGGUCCAGACUCCUACGGGAGGCAGCAGUCGGGAAUCUUCCGCAAUGGGCGAAAGCCUGACGGAGCAACGCCGCGUGAGUGAUGAAGGUCUUCGGAUCGUAAAACUCUGUUAUUAGGGAAGAACAAAUGUGUAAGUACCUAUGCACGUCUUGACGGUACCUAAUCAAAAAGCCACGGCUAACUACGUG
Molecule: ribosomal RNA, 497 nt
Filed under: uncultured bacterium
Lineage: Bacteria
Description: partial 16S ribosomal RNA
Rfam family: Bacterial small subunit ribosomal RNA
Source: RNAcentral